GGGCCUGUGGUCUAGUGUCCUUAAGGCUAGAAGCUAUGACGUCGCCUCGACACGGCGAAGUUCGAGUGUUCAAAUCACUCCAGGCCCA
Molecule: transfer RNA, 88 nt
Filed under: Candidatus Woesearchaeota archaeon
Lineage: Archaea; Nanobdellati; Candidatus Woesearchaeota
Description: tRNA-Val
Rfam family: tRNA
About the family: Transfer RNA (tRNA) molecules are approximately 80 nucleotides in length.
Source: RNAcentral